AAACUUACACAUGCAAGUCUCAGCAGACCCGUGAGGACGCCCUUUACCCUACACCAGACCUAGGAGCUGGCAUCAGGCAUUAAAUUUACCCAUUACGCCUAGUCCCACCACGCCCAUAAGGGCCUUCAGCAGUGAUAAAUAUUGUUUAUAAGCGACAGCUUGACUCAGUUACAGGAAAGAGAGCUGGCUAACUCGGUGCCAGCCGCCGCGGCUAAACCGCACGAGCCCAAGUUGAUAAUUACCGGCGUUAAGCGUGAUUAAAGACCCCCCCCCAUCAAUUAGAGCAAAAUCUGUAUUCAGCCGUGACAAGCUUAUACCAGAGAAAAAUAAAAACGAAAGUUGCCCUAAUCCACUUGAAUACACGACAGUUGGGAAACAAACUGGGAUUAGAUACCCCACUAUGCCCCACCGUAAAAUAUUAACCUACACUAAAAACGCCAGGGUAUUACGAGCCUCAGCUUAAAACCCAAAGGACUUGACGGUGUCCCACCCAACUAGAGGAGCCUGUUCUAUAAUCGAUAACCCCCGAUAUACCUAACCCCAUUUUGCAAAUCAGCCUGUAUACCUCCGUCGCAAGCUUACCAUAUGAAUGCCAACAGUAAGUCUAAUGGUCACACACCAACACGUCAGGUCAAGGUGCAGCUUAUAAUAGGGCAAGCAAUGGGCUACAAUUUCUAAUAUAGAAUAUACGGAAUGCCACCUGAAACACAACAUGAAGGCGGAUUUAGUAGUAAAAAUGAAAUAACGUGUCCUUCUUAACAAGGCCCUGGGACGUGUACACACCGCCCGUCACCCUCUUCAAUAAUACACCACCCGUUUAUUACAACUCAAUAUAUACUAGAAGAGGCAAGUCGUAACAUGGUAAGUGUACCGGAAGGUGCACUUGGAUUACCAAAAUAUAGCUUAAACAAAGCCUCUCGCUUACACCGAGAAGACAUCCGUGAAAACCAGAUUAUUUUGAGCCUAAAAUUAAGCCUAAUUCAACCUCAUGCAUCUUUACCCCAACAAACCUUAAUAAAACAUUUUAUCAGUUUAGUAAAGGCGAUUAAAAAACUUAUUAGCGCUUUAUUGCAAGUACCGCAAGGGAAAAAUGAAAUAGCUUUGAAAUAGAACUUAAGCAAUUUAUAGCAGAGAUUACCCCUCGUACCUUUUGCAUCAUGGUUUAGUUAGUCUCACUCAAGCAAAACGAAACAUCAGUUUGACCCCCCGAAACUAAGCGAGCUACUUUUAAACAGCUCAAUGGAGCCAACCCGUCUCUGUUGCAAAAGAGUGGGAUGAUUUUUAAGUAGAGGUGAAAAGCCUAACGAGCUUAGAGAUAGCUGGUUAUUCAGAAAUAGAAUUUUAGUUCAACCUUAAGUUUUCUUAUUUUACACAAAACUACCACAAACUUAAGAGCUAUUCAAAUAAGGCACAGCUUAUUUGAAAAAGGAUACAACCUACAAAAAAGGGUAAAAAAUAUUAUACAAACCAAGUUGGCCUGAAAGCAGCCAUCUUUAAGAAAGCGUUAAAGCUCCUCUCUUUUCCUUAAUAAUCCCUCUAAACAUAUUAAACCCUUCAUUAUUACUGAAUGAUUCUAUAACUUAUAGAAGUCCUGAUACUAAAACUAGUAACAAGAAAAAGUAUUUCUCCAAAAUAUAAGUAUAAGCCUUACUGGACAAACCAUUGGCAGUUAACGUUUAUAAAAUCACUGUAGUAACCCCACGAGAAAAUUCUACAAAUACAAACGUUAAUCUUACACAAGCAUAUUGCAGGAAAGAUAAAAGAAAGGAA
Molecule: non-coding RNA, 1770 nt
Filed under: Limnonectes cf. kuhlii 'lineage 21'
Lineage: Eukaryota; Metazoa; Chordata; Amphibia; Anura; Dicroglossidae
Description: partial contains 12S ribosomal RNA, tRNA-Val, and 16S ribosomal RNA; may also contain tRNA-Phe
Rfam family: Bacterial small subunit ribosomal RNA (bases 67-899)
Source: RNAcentral